UCGGUAAUAUUGUUUUGACAAAUUUCCUUAUAAUUCAUCUUCUAUGGUUAGUUUGAUAAAUUAUCUCUUCUUCUUUUUUUUUGUUAAAGAUGACUUCGUUUAUUUAUUUUUUUGAACCAUCUAAAUUGAUGUAAAAUUGCGUAGCAUCGAUCCAUAUAUAUCACAAUAAGGUACAAAAUUUGCCACGAAGUGGCGAAAUUUCAUCCAAAUUCCAGCUUAAGUAAUUUUAUUUCGGGAAUUGAAGAAAGAUUUCGACAUUGCCCAAAAUUUCGCCGAAUUCAGGCGAGAUUUCGUUUCUCCCCAAUUCUCCCGCGAUAAAAGCCGCCCCAUGAAGGUAUAGAGAGAGAGAUUUGGAAAAACUGAGAAAAAUAAAAAAAAAUUCUAAUAAAAUUUGAGAGAGAGAUGGCAGUAAACUGAUUAAAGCUAGAAAAAUUCUGAUAAAACUUUCCACUGUAUACAAAAAUAUGAAAAAAUCCCCAAAAACAUGAUAUCUUCAAGCCCAGACCUCAUCAACGCGCACUUUAAGCUCUGAUAAGUCCUCCAAAUCUUCAGCAUCUCUGUUUUCCGGCGACCCCAUCGCCGGUUUUCUACCCUUUGGCAGCUUCCCGGCGACCUGUCUGACCGGCAUCUGGGAAAAUUGCGGUUUUCCGGUGACUUUGUCUUCGUUUUCCGGCCUGAUAAGCUCUGAUAAGAGAAGGACGAGAGAGGCCAUCUCUAACUGCGCUUAACUUCGCUGAGAGCUCUUAUGAAACUUUGAAGAGAGAGAAAGACAGGAGAGAGAGAGGCUUUCUUUGUUACGGGGCGAGAAGAAUUGGUGGUAUAAAUAGGAGAGCGAGAGAGAGAAAGACAAGAGAGAUAAACGUUUAAUGGUGGGCUCAUAGAAUCAGUGGACGGUUUAGAGAGAGAAAGAGAGAGAGGACAUAUGGUGGGCUGAGAGAACCAGUUAGGAGUUCAGAGAUCGAGGUUUCACCUUUUAAUAAUGGGAUGAGAGAGAAACCGCGAAUGGUUUGUGGUUUUGAUAAACCAGGGAUUUUGGCGGUUUUAUGGGACUUCGGAUCUGGGACGAGAAAACCGGGGGAAAUUCCGGUUUCUGAAAAACG
RNAcentral lists this long non-coding RNA (1100 nucleotides) under Amborella trichopoda. RNAcentral describes it as "long non-coding RNA (ATRI_LNC001447)". The record is from RNAcentral. Lineage: Eukaryota; Viridiplantae; Streptophyta; Magnoliopsida; Amborellales; Amborellaceae.